UACGUAGGUGGCAAGCGUUGUCCGGAAUUAUUGGGCGUAAAGAGCGCGCAGGUGGUUGAUUAAGUCUGAUGUGAAAGCCCACGGCUUAACCGUGGAGGGUCAUUGGAAACUGGUCGACUUGAGUGCAGAAGAGGGAAGUGGAAUUCCAUGUGUAGCGGUGAAAUGCGUAGAGAUAUGGAGGAACACCAGUGGCGAAGGCGGCUUCCUGGUCUGUAACUGGCACUGAGGCGCGAAAGCGUGGGGAGCAAACAGGAUUAGAUA
RNAcentral lists this ribosomal RNA (261 nucleotides) under uncultured prokaryote. RNAcentral's name for it is "partial 16S ribosomal RNA". It matches the Rfam family "Bacterial small subunit ribosomal RNA", at positions 524 to 784 of the family's 1533-position model. The record is from RNAcentral.